UACUUGAUGUUGAUGCACACACACAGCCACUCGUCUUUCUUCUUCUUAGACUCAGCCGUCCUGUCAGAUCUAAUGCAAGGGAAUAUUAAUAGCACACACUGCUUGACAGUUAUUUUAAACCGUUACGCACUGGUGAGAUUGAAACGAAAGAUACUUAGUUGUGUUGCUUUCUAUUGGACAGCAACAAGGCUAAUGGUUUGACACAACAAAUCCAUCACAUUUUGACAGCUUAUAUACAAUGGAUCAGUUCGAGUUUAUGAACUUGCAGCAGCCAGCUAACGAGUCGACAGCGGCAACUAGUACCACUACCAACAUCAUCGUCACCACCCAACCACAAAUCGUAGGUCAAGGAAGAACGAUUCCUCCUCCCAGAAACUGGAUUAGUGGAUUGUGUGCCUGUUUUGACGACUGCACUAGCUGUCUCCUCGCAUGCUUCUGUCCCUGUUUGCUUCAGUGUAUGAUCGCCCAGGACAUGGGAGAAUCCUGCUGCAACGCUUUCUGUUACGUUUGCUGCAAUACUGCCUCGCACUUUGGUCUCCGAGUUUUCAUGAAGGGAAGAGAGAACAUACAGGGAAGUCUGAGCUACGAUGCUUCCAUUACUUCCGGAUGUCUGAGUCUCUGCUGCUACACAUGCGCACUUGCUCAGUUGGCGCGUGAGAUGAAGUUUGUCAAAAGCACGAGAAUGUUUUUCUGAUGCCUGUCACAGGAAUAUGAAAUAUAUAGGCUUAUAAUUACUCAUAAAAAUGCAGUGCCGGGUUUAAGUAUUUAGGAAUUCAUAUGCCUACAUACUAAUGACCUCCUUUCAAAUACAUUUAAUAGUGAUACGCGAUACGUCGAAAGAAUGCGUUUUCCCCUAGAGACAUAUUUAGGCCUAGUCACAAUUCAGUUUAGCUUCCUUUAAUAAAAUUUAAGAGGUACCGUUUUGCAUAUCUUUUUGCUCAUAUAAAAGGUUCCUCUUUAAGACAUAGAUCUAGAUCUAGGACCGAGGUCAUUAUUUAGGCAUACUUAGACAAAAGUUAAAAAAAAUUGUGGAGGUAAUGUAAAUAUACAAUUACUCGGCGCGGAUUAAUGACAAGUAGAUUUUAACAUACAACAAAUACAACCAUCACUCACGGUCCACUGGCAUACAAAAAUAAUAAUUAAAAAAAAAAGCUCGUCACAACAAAUUGUGUAUAUUGAAUAUAGCGAUUUAAGGUGACACCCAGGAACUUAAAUGAAAUAUAUGAAUUUUAUUAAUAAACUAUACAUUUAUUUGAAUCUAUCUGUUUUCCAAUAAAAAAAUUAACUGAUAAAAUUUCAAGUGAGCGUACCUGUGUCUGCAACAGAGGACAAGUUUGAACAAUUUCUGAAUGAUGUUAACAUUAAUUGUUGUGUACAUAUGGAACUUACGGUUUUGUCUUAUGUGUUUUUGGCAAUGUAAUCUUGUACUGAAUAAUAAAAAAAGUAUUUUAUGUU
This is a long non-coding RNA of Biomphalaria glabrata, 1455 nucleotides long. RefSeq lists it as uncharacterized. The record is from RefSeq and is a predicted model, not a curated record. The transcript is spliced from 4 exons. NCBI's taxonomy places the organism in Eukaryota, Metazoa, Mollusca, Gastropoda, Planorbidae.